RNAcentral lists this microRNA (22 nucleotides) under Callorhinchus milii (elephant shark). RNAcentral's name for it is "eshark_mir-290_2". Lineage: Eukaryota; Metazoa; Chordata; Chondrichthyes; Chimaeriformes; Callorhinchidae. The record is from RNAcentral.
UAAGUGCUUUUAUGUUGGGAUU